RNAcentral lists this non-coding RNA (287 nucleotides) under Megaselia scalaris. Its description in RNAcentral is "Eukaryotic small subunit ribosomal RNA". It matches the Rfam family "Eukaryotic small subunit ribosomal RNA", at positions 705 to 1145 of the family's 1831-position model. Lineage: Eukaryota; Metazoa; Arthropoda; Insecta; Diptera; Phoridae. The record is from Rfam by way of RNAcentral.
AGAUGUUUUCAUUAAUCAAGAACGAAAGUUAGAGGUUCGAAGUAUUUUAACCUGGAAGAAAUUCAUACUCUCUGGAGCCGCACAAAGUAGUAUACGGCUAAGAAGUCUAGGAUGCUUCUCCUAAUCAAAGUUAGAGGUUCGAAGGCUAUUAGAUACCGCCCUAGUUCUAACCAUAAACGAUGCCAGCUAAUAAUUGGGUGUAGCUACUUUUAUGGCUUUCUCAGUAGCUUCCCGGGAAACCAAAUCUUUUGGGCUCCGGGGGAAGUAUGGUUGCAAAGCUGAAACUU